This 253-nucleotide ribosomal RNA is filed under the name uncultured bacterium. RNAcentral describes it as "partial 16S ribosomal RNA". It matches the Rfam family "Bacterial small subunit ribosomal RNA", at positions 524 to 776 of the family's 1533-position model. The record is from RNAcentral.
UACGUAGGGAGCAAGCGUUGUCCGGAAUCAUUGGGCGUAAAGCGCGCGUAGGUGGCCUCAUAAGUCCGCUGUGAAAGUCAAAGGCUCAACCUUUGAAAGCCGGUGGAUACUGUGGGGCUAGAGUACGGAAGAGGCGAGUGGAAUUCCUGGUGUAGCGGUGGAAUGCGCAGAUAUCGGGAAGAACACCCGUGGCGAAGGCGGCUCUCUGGGACGGUACUGACGCUGAGACGCGAAAGCGUGGGGAGCGAACAGG